UACGGGGGGGGCAAGCGUUGUUCGGAAUUACUGGGCGUAAAGGGCGCGUAGGCGGCCUGCUAAGUCGGACGUGAAAUCCCUCGGCUCAACCGGGGAACUGCGUCCGAUACUGGUGGGCUCGAAUCCCGGAGAGGGAUGUGGAAUUCCAGGUGUGGCGGUGAAAUGCGUAGAUAUCUGGAGGAACACCGGUGGCGAAGGCGGCAUCCUGGACCGGUAUUGACGCUGAUGCGCGAAAGCCAGGGGAGCAAACGGG
Molecule: ribosomal RNA, 253 nt
Filed under: uncultured bacterium
Lineage: Bacteria
Description: partial 16S ribosomal RNA
Rfam family: Bacterial small subunit ribosomal RNA
Source: RNAcentral